AAGGCCCCUUGUAGAACACGAGGUUGAUAGGCCAGGAGUGUAAGGUGAGUAAUCACUUCAGCUGACUGGUACUAAUAGGCCGAGGGCUUGACUUA
This 95-nucleotide ribosomal RNA is filed under the name Sporomusaceae bacterium. RNAcentral's name for it is "partial 23S ribosomal RNA". It matches the Rfam family "Bacterial large subunit ribosomal RNA", at positions 2830 to 2925 of the family's 2925-position model. The record is from RNAcentral. Lineage: Bacteria; Bacillati; Bacillota; Negativicutes; Selenomonadales; Sporomusaceae.